AUUGAACGCUGGCGGCGUGCAUAACACAUGCAAGUCGAGCGGUAACGCGGGAGCAAUCCUGGCGACGAGCGGCGAACGGGUGAGUAAUGCUUCGGAAUCUACCCAGUAGUGGGGAAUAACUAACCGAAAGGUUAGCUAAUGCCGCAUACGACCUAUGGGUGAAAGCGGGGGAUCGUAAGACCUCGCGCUAUUGGAUGAGCCGAAGUCGGAUUAGCUAGUUGGUAAGGUAACGGCUUACCAAGGCGACAAUCCGUAGCUGGUCUGAGGGGACGACCAGCCACACUGGGACUGAGACACGGCCCAGACUCCUACGGGAGGCAGCAGUGGGGAAUAUUGGACAAUGGGGGCAACCCUGAUCCAGCGACGCCGCGUGUGUGAAGAAGGCCUGCGGGUUGUAAAGCACUUUUAGUGGGGAUGAAAAGCUCAGGGCUAAUAACCUUGGGUCUUGACCUAACCCAAAGAAAAAGCACCGGCUAACUCUGUGCCAGCAGCCGCGGUAAUACAGAGGGUGCGAGCGUUAAUCGGAAUUACUGGGCGUAAAGCGUGCGUAGACGGUUUUAUAAGUCGGAUGUGAAAUCCCCGGGCUUAACCUGGGAAUUGCAUUCGAGACUGCAA
This 615-nucleotide ribosomal RNA is filed under the name uncultured bacterium. Its description in RNAcentral is "bacterial SSU rRNA". It matches the Rfam family "Bacterial small subunit ribosomal RNA", at positions 28 to 638 of the family's 1533-position model. The record is from RNAcentral.